UACGGGGGGGGCGAGCGUUGUUCGGAAUUACUGGGCGUAAAGGGUUUGUAGGUGGUCUGCUAAGUCAGACGUGAAAUCCCUCAGCUUAACUGGGGAACUGCGUCUGAUACUGGCGGACUUGGGGACAGGAGAGGAACGCGGAAUUCCAGGUGUAGCGGUGAAAUGCGUAGAUAUCUGGAGGAACACCGGUGGCGAAGGCGGCGUUCUGGACUGUUUCUGACACUGAAAAACGAAAGCCAGGGGAGCAAACGGG
RNAcentral lists this ribosomal RNA (253 nucleotides) under uncultured bacterium. Its description in RNAcentral is "partial 16S ribosomal RNA". It matches the Rfam family "Bacterial small subunit ribosomal RNA", at positions 524 to 776 of the family's 1533-position model. The record is from RNAcentral.